GACGUAGGGGGCGAGCGUUGUCCGGAUUUAUUGGGCGUAAAGCGUGCGUAGGCGGCUGCGCAAGUCGGGUGUGAAACCCCGGGGCUCAACCCCGGAACUGCAUCCGAUACUGCGUGGCUAGAGGUAGGUAGGGGAGAUCGGAAUUCCUGGUGUAGCGGUGAAAUGCGCAGAUAUCAGGAGGAACACCGAUGGCGAAGGCAGCUCGCUGGGACGGUACUGACGCUGAGGCGCGAAAGCGUGGGGAGCAAACAGG
This 253-nucleotide ribosomal RNA is filed under the name uncultured bacterium. Its description in RNAcentral is "partial 16S ribosomal RNA". It matches the Rfam family "Bacterial small subunit ribosomal RNA", at positions 524 to 776 of the family's 1533-position model. The record is from RNAcentral.